GUAAUGUGUAGUCCCUGUGGCAAGAACAUUAAAGAUAAAGGGGAAACUAUAAACAGAAGAUAUUAUCAACAAAAUAAGAUUUACAGAGGUCAACAAAGCCUAAAUGGUCAGACAUCUUGAUUUUCAUGGUCAUCAUUCACAGAUCAAUACUGAACAGAAAACUUAAAGCUGAUAUUUUUCUCCAUAGUGCGACUUUUUUAUUAAUUUGAAAUGGAACGUGUUUUUUCCUACAUUUAUUUGAAAGAGGAAAUUUCAACAUGAUGACAAUAAACAAAAAGGAGUCAUAUCAUCACGAUCAUUGAUGCACAAGAACUUGAUCAUAUAAAUACAACAAUGUAAUUAUCAAUUGAAAGAUGGAACCAAUGAACAAAAUAUUAGAAUGUUGUUGUCCAACUAAACUUGCUUUGUUUUCUCAUUUGAAUCUCUCCAUUCAAUAAAGAUGUACAGAGGAAUAUCUUUGAAGAACAGAUUGAAAAAAUGUUUUGUCUAAGAAUUACAGGAAUAUUCUAGUGAAUGAAAUUAUUUAUUGACUUCACUCUUAUAUAGUGGACAGAAUAUUUGUACAUAGCAAGUUGUGAAUAAAGAAAACAAAAAC
Long non-coding RNA from Mytilus trossulus (common blue mussel), 595 nucleotides. RefSeq lists it as uncharacterized. NCBI's taxonomy places the organism in Eukaryota, Metazoa, Mollusca, Bivalvia, Mytilida, Mytilidae. The transcript has 3 exons. The record is from RefSeq and is a predicted model, not a curated record.